Molecule: ribosomal RNA, 493 nt
Filed under: uncultured bacterium
Lineage: Bacteria
Description: partial 16S ribosomal RNA
Rfam family: Bacterial small subunit ribosomal RNA
Source: RNAcentral
GAUGAACGCUAGCGGCAGGCUUAACACAUGCAAGUCGAGGGGUAGAGGCUUUCGGGCCUUGAGACCGGCGCACGGGUGCGUAACGCGUAUGCAAUCUGCCUUGUACUGGGGGAUAGCCCAGAGAAAUUUGGAUUAAUACCCCAUAGUAUUUUCGGUUGGCAUCAACUGAUUAUUAAAGUUUUUCGGUACAAGAUGAGCAUGCGUCCCAUUAGCUAGUUGGUAUGGUAACGGCAUACCAAGGCUACGAUGGGUAGGGGUCCUGAGAGGGAGAUCCCCCACACUGGUACUGAGACACGGACCAGACUCCUACGGGAGGCAGCAGUGAGGAAUAUUGGUCAAUGGUCGCAAGACUGAACCAGCCAUGCCGCGUGCAGGAUGAAGCAUCUAUGGUGUGUAAACUGCUUUUGUACGGGAAGAAACACUCCUACGUGUAGGGGCUUGACGGUACCGUAAGAAUAAGGAUCGGCUAACUCCGUGCCAGCCGCCGCGGUAA